Molecule: long non-coding RNA, 381 nt
Organism: Ornithorhynchus anatinus (platypus)
Lineage: Eukaryota; Metazoa; Chordata; Mammalia; Monotremata; Ornithorhynchidae
Exons: 2
Source: RefSeq, a predicted model, not a curated record
GGUUAUGAGUCCCCAUUUUACAGAUGAAGAACCCAAGGCCCAAAAGAGGUGCCGUUCUACCCGCUCAGCAUGGGCAGAGGACGUGACGCCCUUUCUGCCCUGGGUGCCCUUCUCCCCAGCCAAGCCAAGCCAGCGCCCGGAGACCGUUCCUUCAGCCCCAAGCAGCCUUGUCCAGAAGAGGUUCUGCCAGCCCACCGACCCAAGUUCUUGGACCCCUUCCCCCUCUAGACCGUAAGCUCACUGUGGGCACUGAAAGAGCCUACCAGCUCCGUGGUACCGUCUUCCCCCAAGCACGUAAAGUAUUCUGGACACAUGAAGCGCUCAAUAAAUACAACUGAUUGACUGAGACGGAAGGGGCUUGGGCCCUUUGAAGGGCCUACA